Molecule: ribosomal RNA, 253 nt
Filed under: uncultured bacterium
Lineage: Bacteria
Description: partial 16S ribosomal RNA
Rfam family: Bacterial small subunit ribosomal RNA
Source: RNAcentral
UACGUAGGGCGCGAGCGUUGUCCGGAGUUACUGGGCGUAAAGCGCACGCAGGCGGUCUGCUAAGUUUGGAGUGACAGUUGGUGGCUUAACUGCCAAAGUGCUUCGAAAACUGACAGACUUGAGGGCUUCAGAGGGACACGGAAUUCCGGGUGGAGUGGUGAAAUGCGUAGAGAUCCGGAGGAACACCAGUGGCGAAGGCGGCUCACUGGACCGGUUCUGACGCUGAAGCGCGAAAGCGUGGGGAGCAAACGGG